This 301-nucleotide ribosomal RNA is filed under the name uncultured bacterium. RNAcentral describes it as "partial 16S ribosomal RNA". It matches the Rfam family "Bacterial small subunit ribosomal RNA", at positions 509 to 808 of the family's 1533-position model. The record is from RNAcentral.
CAGUCGCCGCGGUAAUACGUAGGGUGCAAGCGUUAAUCGGAAUUACUGGGCGUAAAGCGUGCGCAGGCGGUUCUAUAAGACAGAUGUGAAAUCCCCGGGCUCAACCUGGGAACUGCAUUUGUGACUGUAGAGCUGGAGUACGGCAGAGGGGGACGGAAUUCCGCGUGUAGCAGUGAAAUGCGUAGAUAUGCGGAGGAACACCGAUGGCGAAGGCAAUCCCCUGGGCCUGUACUGACGCUCAUGCACGAAAGCGUGGGGAGCGAACAGGAUUAGAUACCCGAGUAGUCCCUGUCUCUUUACA